This 277-nucleotide ribosomal RNA is filed under the name uncultured Burkholderiales bacterium. RNAcentral describes it as "partial 16S ribosomal RNA". It matches the Rfam family "Bacterial small subunit ribosomal RNA", at positions 505 to 781 of the family's 1533-position model. The record is from RNAcentral. Lineage: Bacteria; Pseudomonadati; Pseudomonadota; Betaproteobacteria; Burkholderiales.
GUGCCAGCAGCCGCGGUAAUACGUAGGGUGCAAGCGUUAAUCGGAAUUACUGGGCGUAAAGCGUGCGCAGGCGGUGAUGUAAGACAGAUGUGUAAUCCCCGGGCUCAACCUGGGAACUGCAUUUGUGACUGCAUCGCUGGAGUGCGGCAGAGGGGGAUGGAAUUCCGCGUGUAGCAGUGAAAUGCGUAGAUAUGCGGAGGAACACCGAUGGCGAAGGCAAUCCCCUGGGCCUGCACUGACGCUCAUGCACGAAAGCGUGGGGAGCAAACAGGAUUAG